UCUUGGUUAGCUAAGUUGGUAGAGCCCUCCACUGAAAAUGGAGAAGUCCCUGGUUCGAUACCAGGACCAUGCG
Molecule: non-coding RNA, 73 nt
Organism: Ixodes scapularis (black-legged tick)
Lineage: Eukaryota; Metazoa; Arthropoda; Arachnida; Ixodida; Ixodidae
Source: Rfam